CUUUGUUCAAUCUUAUUAAAUGAGUAAAUUUGCACAUAAUCCUAUUUCUUCAUUGAUUUUUAUUAUUCAUUAUUCAUCAUUAUCAUUAAUGUUUAGGAAAGUUUCAUGAGGUCCUCAUGGUAAUUACAAUUAUAAACAUUCAUUAAGCACUCACGUGAUAAACAUUGCAUUAUUCUCUUUACAGGGAAGUGCAGUGCUUAAAAAUGACAUCUAUAGACUAAAGAUGCCAAAGUUUAUGUGUCUAACCUAGAUUUCUGUCCUCACUUCUGUGCUUAUAUAUCCAAAUGCCAGCAUGCCAUGCCCAGUUGCAUGCCUGAUGAGCCUCUCAAAUUUGACAUGACUAAAACUGACCUUCUGACCUGCCUCUUCAAAAUCGUGCCUCUCAAAGCAUGUCCAUUUCAGGCAAUGGCAACUCCAUCCUUCCAGUUGUAAUGAUGACCCAUGAGUCAUUCUUAACUCCCUUUUUCAUUUAGAUAUCAAUUCCUUCUCUAUAUAGUUCAUGUACAUUGAGGAUGCUGGCCUUGUUCUUUGCCCAGGAGUGUUCACUGAUUGACUUAAGACAAUCAGCACAUUCUACUCCCAUGGUCAGGGGCCAAUAAGAGUGAAUCUCACAAGUUUUGUGAGAAAAAAAUAGGAAAGAAGAUGCACUUUCUCUCCUUGUUGAAUGUGAAAUAAAUGUUUAUAGCCUCAAUUGUGGGAGAUGGCCAUUCUUCAACUGAGAAGGGAGCCAGACUUGGUAUAGAACUAGCACCAUAGAUAUCAGAAGAUAGAAAAAGAAAGUGGCUUUUGAAGAGGUUAUUGAGUGACUGGGUCAUCAAAACCUGAAGCUUCCUCGACCUCUGAACUUUCCAAUCAUGUGAGCCAAACACUUCCUUGUUGUUAAAGCAACUUUGAAUUGGAGCUUUUGAUUCAUGCAAGUGAAACAUCCUAAUUAAUAUAAACGGGUGGCCCUUUAACAAGUCUUUGUGUGUUGAUUAACUUCAUAUAUUUUGGUGAAAUACAGAAUAAAUGGCAUUUUCAAUUUUUCAUAGCCCUGUGCCUUUGGCUAUGCUGUUCCUUGUCUCUGGAGUGCCCUUUCCACCAUGUCCUCUUAGCAAAUCCCUACUCAACUUUUAAGACCUAACACAAAUAUCCCUUUCUUUCUUAGGAUGUAUUGUUUAGACAUGGCCUAAUUUUAAGUACCUGACCCUAGUGGACUCAUUCGUUGGUCCCAUUAGUGGGAAAGUCAUACAAAAAAUACAUAUUUUCUCUUCUACUAUAUGCCAGGCAUGUGCCAGGCACAUACAAUGGGAAAACUCCUUAAGGAGUUUAGAAAUGGGCUAUACAGAGAAGUGAGCCAGCAAGCAAUUACAAUAUGGGAAGUCCAGUGUUGAGACGGCAAAAUGUCUGGGUGUGGUGGGAGUAUAAUAGUGGUAAGCCCCUCAUCAAGUCUUAGUGGGUAUGGAUAAUGGAGGUGAGUCCUGGAGGAAGUGAUGUCUACAAAAAGAUUUAAGAACCAGUAGGAGCUUAACAGACAGGAAGACAGAGAAAAGAACAUCCCAGGAAGAAGAAGAGUUCCUGACAACAUCCAGCAGCAUCAGAGAUCAAGACAACCCUCUUGGGGGACAGGGUCAGAAUGUAGAGUUCCAGAAGGAACAUAGUGAAAGAUGAAGCUAGAGUCCAAGGAGACAACCAGACCAAGAGGGACCUCACAAGGCUUACUAAAGAAUAUGGAUUCUGUCCUGGGGACCACUGGGAAGAUGAUUUAUUUGCGCUUUAGAAAAAUCAAAGAGGCUGCAGAAGUGAGGGGUUUGGGGGAGCCCCACAUAGACCAGGUAGACCUGUUAGGGAGCAUUGGAUCUGUCUAGUCCUUAUCUCCUUGUGUGUCAUUUCCCCUGAGAUAUCUGAUUAGGAGCAGACACAGAACUUAAAGAUUAUGGAAAAAGUGGCAAUUGUGAGUCUUUCCAUGUGAGCCCACCAAGAGGGGGUCAUUUUGGACAUGGAAGACUGCCUUAAGUGACCAGAAUGGCAUAAGUAAUAUUGAUAAUGAACAUGAUGACAGUACCAUGUAAACAACAUUCUUAAGGUCAAAUAUGCAGCAAAAUUUAACAGCCAUUGGUGGUUCUUUUGACCAACUCCAAAUUUUGGAUUUUAGUCACUUCAUCCAACAGAUUCACUUGAAACAAUCGAGGUUUUGGACAAAAGAAACAGGCAUGUAAUGCAUCACCACUAGAUUUUAUUAGAAGUCAAUUCAUUGGUCAAAUAACAGUAGUCUCCUAACACGGUGUGAGGGUGAGCAGAACUUCCUCCCUGACGCGGGUGUUGACAUCUUUUGGAGACCAAGGCAAUAUAUGGAGGGGUCUUUCCGUAAUUCCUGACCAUGGGGAGUCAUCACUGAAGCAGCCGAGUCUUUCGU
Molecule: long non-coding RNA, 2395 nt
Filed under: Homo sapiens (human)
Lineage: Eukaryota; Metazoa; Chordata; Mammalia; Primates; Hominidae
Description: HSALNT0168535
Source: RNAcentral